This 180-nucleotide transfer-messenger RNA is filed under the name Escherichia coli. RNAcentral describes it as "partial transfer-messenger RNA". It matches the Rfam family "transfer-messenger RNA", at positions 186 to 374 of the family's 374-position model. Rfam says of the family: Bacterial tmRNA, also known as 10Sa RNA or SsrA, is named for its dual tRNA and mRNA-like properties. Its role is to liberate the mRNA from a stalled ribosome. The record is from RNAcentral. Lineage: Bacteria; Pseudomonadati; Pseudomonadota; Gammaproteobacteria; Enterobacterales; Enterobacteriaceae.
CGCACGCACACAAGUCCGUAUAGAGUCAAGCCUCGGGGCUUUAUACCAAACUUAGAGGAUCGCACUUUGUACCCUGUUCGUCGGGUCACUUGGUGUUAAAACAAUAGACGAUAUCUAAGCAUGUAGUAUUCUCGAGCGUAGUGCUGGCGGACGCGGGUUCAACUCCCGCCAUCUCCACCA